This is a long non-coding RNA of Lagopus leucura (white-tailed ptarmigan), 1092 nucleotides long. RefSeq lists it as uncharacterized. The transcript has 3 exons. The record is from RefSeq and is a predicted model, not a curated record. NCBI's taxonomy places the organism in Eukaryota, Metazoa, Chordata, Aves, Galliformes, Phasianidae.
CUGCCGCCCUGAUGGCGAUCGGCGAGGCUGGGGAGCGGCCGCGGCACGGCAGGGACGGGCAGAGGAGUGCGGGCGUCAUUAAACAGUGAAUAGAGCUCAGUUAUGCUUUAAGAAGUCAAGAUGCAGCUGGCUGAACAGACAGAACAAGGCCACCACAUUUGGCUCAUCUGCCUGGUGCCGAUAGAGAGCAGCAGCCCGUUCUGAUUACGGACUCAUGCAGAGGUGAAAUUGCUCCCUUGGAACCGGUACAAGGUGCACCACAAGUGGAAGAAGCUGCUGGAAUCCAUCUAGAGUAGACUGCUAAUCGGGAGUGCUUUGAGGUGACUUGUAAGCAAAGGCAAUGCCGUGACAGCCUUCAGAAGCCACGGCCUUUGGUUUAUUUUGGGAAUGCGACUUCUGAAAUCCUCUGAAAGUGAUAUCAGUAAAGUCUAGAUGACACAAACAGCUGGCUCCACUUCCGAUGGGAGCACUUGCCAGUAACCGAAGACCCUCCUUGUAUGCGCAGAAGGAAGCAGAGCCCAGAGGCACUGAAACCAUGCCAGCCCUGCUGAAGGUAGCACUUGAUCUGCAGAGGAGCCACCGGGAACAUGAGACUCCAACCGGAGCCAUUUACACGCUGCUGGAACGUGGCCACAGGAACAAACACUGUGGUGUAAAUUCUGCCUGAGUGAAGGAGAGGCCGGAUUAUUGUCCCACAGAGGUCCCUCCCCACCUGCAACCUGUCACCACUGGGCAUCCACUGCUAAACAGCAAUAAGAGAGGUGAAGAACUGAUCCUGAGUUAUCCAUUUAAAAGCUGUGCGAGCUGCAAAAAUUGAAAUGAAAGAGGGGGUUAAUUGCACUGAACGUGCUCAGAGGAGGCAGAGCUAGGCUUUCCUGUGGAAAACUGCCAUAUGUGACUCUGCACGCAUUUAUCCUUCCUUUGACUUGUAAUGUGGAAAAAGUCAGUAAUCACAACAACUCAUGAUGUGUUGUCUCACUUGCAGGGACUGCUUGUGGCAUACAUGGAUUGACACAAAUCCUUAUCAAAACUGGAAUUAUUAUCUGCAAGUCACACUUCAGGUUUCUCAAAUAAAACUACGUUUGAAUUCUG